UNUCAGGCCAGGACAGUUACCUGGGAAUGGUC
This 32-nucleotide non-coding RNA is filed under the name Homo sapiens (human). Lineage: Eukaryota; Metazoa; Chordata; Mammalia; Primates; Hominidae. The record is from RNAcentral.